AGUGAACGCUGGCGGUAGGCCUAACACAUGCAAGUCGAACGGCAGCACAGUAAGAGCUUGCUCUUACGGGUGGCGAGUGGCGGACGGGUGAGGAAUACAUCGGAAUCUACUUUUUCGUGGGGGAUAACGUAGGGAAACUUACGCUAAUACCGCAUACGACCUACGGGUGAAAGCAGGGGAUCUUCGGACCUUGCGCGAUUGAAUGAGCCGAUGUCGGAUUAGCUAGUUGGCGGGGUAAAGGCCCACCAAGGCGACGAUCCGUAGCUGGUCUGAGAGGAUGAUCAGCCACACUGGAACUGAGACACGGUCCAGACUCCUACGGGAGGCAGCAGUGGGGAAUAUUGGAAAAUGGGCGCAAGCCUGAUCCAGCCAUACCGCGUGGGUGAAGAAGGCCUGCGGGUUGUAAAGCCCUUUUGUUGGGAAAGAAAAGCAGCAGGUUAAUACCCCGCUGUUCUGACGGUACCCAAAGAAUAAGCACCGGCUAACUUCGU
RNAcentral lists this ribosomal RNA (491 nucleotides) under uncultured bacterium. RNAcentral's name for it is "partial 16S ribosomal RNA". It matches the Rfam family "Bacterial small subunit ribosomal RNA", at positions 29 to 506 of the family's 1533-position model. The record is from RNAcentral.